Molecule: small RNA, 165 nt
Filed under: Rhodococcus sp. (in: high G+C Gram-positive bacteria)
Lineage: Bacteria; Bacillati; Actinomycetota; Actinomycetes; Mycobacteriales; Nocardiaceae
Description: Rhodococcus sp. c-di-AMP sequence
Rfam family: c-di-AMP riboswitch aptamer (ydaO/yuaA leader)
About the family: This family represents a conserved RNA structure found upstream of the ydaO and yuaA genes in Bacillus subtilis and related genes in other bacteria.
Source: RNAcentral
CGCCAGGUACCGCCUAAUCGAUCACUCGUGAGAGCGAUCGUGCCGGGAACCCAAGUUUCUCUGGGGUGAAUCCCGUCGGAGCGCGAUAUGCGUGCCGCCGGGUAGGGCUGAUCUUCCCAGCCCGAACCCGUCAGCUAACUCGGUCGGCGGAUGAACGGAAGAAAC